CAAUCUGCUGUCGUAUAUCAGUUUUACCUUCAUACAAAGAUAAUAAAUUUUGUCUAUUUUAAAAUAUUUUUUCGUACUUUUUUAUUAAAAGACAUUUAAUAAAUUUUUGAAUAGAUGCAAAACUGAUACAUGACAGCGGAUUAUUAGAGAGCUCUCCACUAAAAUUUUAUUUUAGGAUUGCUAUGUCUAUGGACCUUGCGAAGAAAGAGCAAAAGGAAACAAAA
This 224-nucleotide long non-coding RNA is filed under the name Ananas comosus (pineapple). RNAcentral describes it as "long non-coding RNA (ACOM_LNC030165)". Lineage: Eukaryota; Viridiplantae; Streptophyta; Magnoliopsida; Poales; Bromeliaceae. The record is from RNAcentral.